This 484-nucleotide ribosomal RNA is filed under the name uncultured bacterium. Its description in RNAcentral is "partial 16S ribosomal RNA". It matches the Rfam family "Bacterial small subunit ribosomal RNA", at positions 30 to 507 of the family's 1533-position model. The record is from RNAcentral.
AUUGAACGCUGGCGGCAGGCCUAACACAUGCAAGUCGAGCGGAUGAAGGGAGCUUGCUCCUGGAUUCAGCGGCGGACGGGUGAGUAAUGCCUAGGAAUCUGCCUGGUAGUGGGGGAUAACGUCCGGAAACGGGCGCUAAUACCGCAUACGUCCUGAGGGAGCAAGUGGGGGAUCUUCGGACCUCACGCUAUCAGAUGAGCCUAGGUCGGAUUAGCUAGUUGGUGGGGUAAAUGCCUACCAAGGCGACCAUCCGUAACUGGUCUGAGAGGAUGAUCAGUCACACUGGAACUGAGACACGGUCCAGACUCCUACGGGAGGCAGCAGUGGGGAAUAUUGGACAAUGGGCGAAAGCCUGAUCCAGCCAUGCCGCGUGUGUGAAGAAGGUCUUCGGAUUGUAAAGCACUUUAAGUUGGGAGGAAGGGCAGUAAGUUAAUACCUUGCUGUUUUGACGUUACCAACAGAAUAAGCACCGGCUAACUUCGUG